AGCGAAGUUGUGUCAAAACUUCUCUCAGAGGUAAAGAAGCCGCCUCUAUGGCACCACUCAUAAUGAUAGAAGUCUCUGCAGGGGCGUCUGUCUCAUCGGCACCAAGUUCACGACCUCGUUUUCUGGUAGCAUUGCCAGAAUUCGCUGCUUUCACAUCAGAUUUGAUCAUGGGGGGUGAUCUGGUCAUUUGCUUUGCAAUCCGACUCAUGCGCUCUCCUACUU
This 222-nucleotide unclassified non-coding RNA is filed under the name Hevea brasiliensis (rubber tree). Lineage: Eukaryota; Viridiplantae; Streptophyta; Magnoliopsida; Malpighiales; Euphorbiaceae. The record is from RNAcentral.